UACGUAGGGGGCAAGCGUUGUCCGGAAUUAUUGGGCGUAAAGAGCGUGUAGGCGGCCAGAUAAGUCCGCUGUGAAAUCUCGAGGCUCAACUUCGAGCUGUCGGUGGAAACUAUCUGGCUAGAGUCCGGAAGAGGAGAAUGGAAUUCCUGGUGUAGCGGUGAAAUGCGCAGAUAUCAGGAGGAACACCGGUGGCGAAGGCGGGUCUCUGGGCCGAAAUUGACGCUGAGGAGCGAAAGCGUGGGGAGCAAACAGG
This 253-nucleotide ribosomal RNA is filed under the name uncultured bacterium. RNAcentral's name for it is "partial 16S ribosomal RNA". It matches the Rfam family "Bacterial small subunit ribosomal RNA", at positions 524 to 776 of the family's 1533-position model. The record is from RNAcentral.